Molecule: ribosomal RNA, 465 nt
Filed under: Vreelandella stevensii
Lineage: Bacteria; Pseudomonadati; Pseudomonadota; Gammaproteobacteria; Oceanospirillales; Halomonadaceae
Description: partial 16S ribosomal RNA
Rfam family: Bacterial small subunit ribosomal RNA
Source: RNAcentral
CCUACGGGUGGCAGCAGUGGGGAAUAUUGGACAAUGGGCGAAAGCCUGAUCCAGCCAUGCCGCGUGUGUGAAGAAGGCCUUCGGGUUGUAAAGCACUUUCAGUGGGGAAGAAAGCCUUGGGGCUAAUACCCUCGAGGAAGGACAUCACCCACAGAAGAAGCACCGGCUAACUCCGUGCCAGCAGCCGCGGUAAUACGGAGGGUGCGAGCGUUAAUCGGAAUUACUGGGCGUAAAGCGCGCGUAGGUGGUCUGAUAAGCCGGUUGUGAAAGCCCCGGGCUCAACCUGGGAACGGCAUCCGGAACUGUCAGGCUAGAGUGCAGGAGAGGAAGGUAGAAUUCCCGGUGUAGCGGUGAAAUGCGUAGAGAUCGGGAGGAAUACCAGUGGCGAAGGCGGCCUUCUGGACUGACACUGACGCUGAGGUGCGAAAGCGUGGGUAGCAAUCAGGAUUAGAUACCCUUGUAGUC